GGGUCCGUAGCUCAGUUGGGAGAGCGCGUGAAUCGCACUCACGAGGUCAGGGGUUCGAAUCCCCUCGGAUCCACCA
Molecule: transfer RNA, 76 nt
Filed under: Candidatus Dormiibacterota bacterium
Lineage: Bacteria; Bacillati; Candidatus Dormiibacterota
Also listed under: 3 other names
Description: tRNA-Ala
Rfam family: tRNA
About the family: Transfer RNA (tRNA) molecules are approximately 80 nucleotides in length. Their secondary structure includes four short double-helical elements and three loops (D, anti-codon, and T loops). Further hydrogen bonds mediate the characteristic L-shaped molecular structure. tRNAs have two regions of fundamental functional importance: the anti-codon, which is responsible for specific mRNA codon recognition, and the 3' end, to which the tRNAs corresponding amino acid is attached (by aminoacyl-tRNA synthetases). tRNAs cope with the degeneracy of the genetic code in two manners: having more than one tRNA (with a specific anti-codon) for a particular amino acid; and 'wobble' base-pairing, i.e. permitting non-standard base-pairing at the 3rd anti-codon position.
Source: RNAcentral